UAUCUGUGCAUAUCCCUAAACUAAUGGU
RNAcentral lists this non-coding RNA (28 nucleotides) under Homo sapiens (human). The record is from RNAcentral. Lineage: Eukaryota; Metazoa; Chordata; Mammalia; Primates; Hominidae.